Molecule: non-coding RNA, 24 nt
Filed under: Arabidopsis thaliana (thale cress)
Lineage: Eukaryota; Viridiplantae; Streptophyta; Magnoliopsida; Brassicales; Brassicaceae
Source: RNAcentral
UGUGGAGGCUUAGAUAGAAACAUC